Molecule: transfer RNA, 54 nt
Filed under: Oncicola luehei
Lineage: Eukaryota; Metazoa; Acanthocephala; Archiacanthocephala; Oligacanthorhynchida; Oligacanthorhynchidae
Description: tRNA-Gly
Source: RNAcentral
ACUUGGUUAGUAUAAUAGUAUAUAUAAUUACCAUUUAUAAGGUUCAACCAGGUA